RNAcentral lists this ribosomal RNA (620 nucleotides) under uncultured bacterium. RNAcentral's name for it is "bacterial SSU rRNA". It matches the Rfam family "Bacterial small subunit ribosomal RNA", at positions 338 to 957 of the family's 1533-position model. The record is from RNAcentral.
CCUACGGGAGGCAGCAGUGGGGAAUUUUGGACAAUGGGCGCAAGCCUGAUCCAGCCAUGCCGCGUGCGGGAAGAAGGCCUUCGGGUUGUAAACCGCUUUUGUCAGGGAAGAAAUCCUUUGGGUUAAUACCUCGGAGGGAUGACGGUACCUGAAGAAUAAGCACCGGCUAACUACGUGCCAGCAGCCGCGGUAAUACGUAGGGUGCGAGCGUUAAUCGGAAUUACUGGGCGUAAAGCGUGCGCAGGCGGUUAUGCAAGACAGAUGUGAAAUCCCCGGGCUCAACCUGGGAACUGCAUUUGUGACUGCAUAGCUAGAGUACGGUAGAGGGGGAUGGAAUUCCGCGUGUAGCAGUGAAAUGCGUAGAUAUGCGGAGGAACACCGAUGGCGAAGGCAAUCCCCUGGACCUGUACUGACGCUCAUGCACGAAAGCGUGGGGAGCAAACAGGAUUAGAUACCCUGGUAGUCCACGCCCUAAACGAUGUCAACUGGUUGUUGGACGGCUUGCUGUUCAGUAACGAAGCUAACGCGUGAAGUUGACCGCCUGGGGAGUCGGCCGCAAGGUUGAAACUCAAAGGAAUUGACGGCGNGAGAGNGACGACGGACGACGACGAGGGAGGAGG